Molecule: ribosomal RNA, 1369 nt
Filed under: uncultured bacterium
Lineage: Bacteria
Description: bacterial SSU rRNA
Rfam family: Bacterial small subunit ribosomal RNA
Source: RNAcentral
GACGAACGCUGGCGGCGUGCCUAAUACAUGCAAGUAGAACGCUGAAGAGAGGAGCUUGCUCUUCUUGGAUGAGUUGCGAACGGGUGAGUAACGCGUAGGUAACCUGCCUUGUAGCGGGGGAUAACUAUUGGAAACGAUAGCUAAUACCGCAUAACAAUGGAUGACACAUGUCAUUUAUUUGAAAGGGGCAAUUGCUCCACUACAAGAUGGACCUGCGUUGUAUUAGCUAGUAGGUGAGGUAACGGCUCACCUAGGCGACGAUACAUAGCCGACCUGAGAGGGUGAUCGGCCACACUGGGACUGAGACACGGCCCAGACUCCUACGGGAGGCAGCAGUAGGGAAUCUUCGGCAAUGGGGGCAACCCUGACCGAGCAACGCCGCGUGAGUGAAGAAGGUUUUCGGAUCGUAAAGCUCUGUUGUAAGUCAAGAACGAGUGUGAGAGUGGAAAGUUCACACUGUGACGGUAGCUUACCAGAAAGGGACGGCUAACUACGUGCCAGCAGCCGCGGUAAUACGUAGGUCCCGAGCGUUGUCCGGAUUUAUUGGGCGUAAAGCGAGCGCAGGCGGUUUGAUAAGUCUGAAGUUAAAGGCUGUGGCUCAACCAUAGUUCGCUUUGGAAACUGUCAAACUUGAGUGCAGAAGGGGAGAGUGGAAUUCCAUGUGUAGCGGUGAAAUGCGUAGAUAUAUGGAGGAACACCGGUGGCGAAAGCGGCUCUCUGGUCUGUAACUGACGCUGAGGCUCGAAAGCGUGGGGAGCGAACAGGAUUAGAUACCCUGGUAGUCCACGCCGUAAACGAUGAGUGCUAGGUGUUGGAUCCUUUCCGGGAUUCAGUGCCGCAGCUAACGCAUUAAGCACUCCGCCUGGGGAGUACGACCGCAAGGUUGAAACUCAAAGGAAUUGACGGGGGCCCGCACAAGCGGUGGAGCAUGUGGUUUAAUUCGAAGCAACGCGAAGAACCUUACCAGGUCUUGACAUCCCGAUGCUAUUUCUAGAGAUAGAAAGUUACUUCGGUACAUCGGUGACAGGUGGUGCAUGGUUGUCGUCAGCUCGUGUCGUGAGAUGUUGGGUUAAGUCCCACAACGAGCGCAACCCCUAUUGUUAGUUGCCAUCAUUCAGUUGGGCACUCUAGCGAGACUGCCGGUAAUAAACCGGAGGAAGGUGGGGAUGACGUCAAAUCAUCAUGCCCCUUAUGACCUGGGCUACACACGUGCUACAAUGGUUGGUACAACGAGUUGCGAGUCGGUGACGGCAAGCUAAUCUCUUAAAGCCAAUCUCAGUUCGGAUUGUAGGCUGCAACUCGCCUACAUGAAGUCGGAAUCGCUAGUAAUCGCGGAUCAGCACGCCGCGGUGAAUACGUUCCCGGGCCU